Molecule: ribosomal RNA, 688 nt
Filed under: uncultured bacterium
Lineage: Bacteria
Description: bacterial SSU rRNA
Rfam family: Bacterial small subunit ribosomal RNA
Source: RNAcentral
CAGUCGAACGGACGAUGAAGAGCUUGCUUUUCAGAGUUAGUGGCGGACGGCUGAGUAACGCGUGGGUAACCUGCCUCAUACAGGGGGAUAGCAGCUGGAAACGGCUGAUAAAACCGCAUAAGCGCACAGCAUCGCAUGAUGCAGUGUGAAAAACUCCGGUGGUAUGAGAUGGACCCGCGUCUGAUUAGCUGGUUGGUGAGGUAACGGCCCACCAAGGCGACGAUCAGUAGCCGGCCUGAGAGGGUGACCGGCCACAUUGGGACUGAGACACGGCCCAAACUCCUACGGGAGGCAGCAGUGGGGAAUAUUGCACAAUGGGGGAAACCCUGAUGCAGCGACGCCGCGUGAAGGAAGAAGUAUCUCGGUAUGUAAACUUCUAUCAGCAGGGAAGAUAAUGACGGUACCUGACUAAGAAGCCCCGGCUAACUACGUGCCAGCAGCCGCGGUAAUACGUAGGGGGCAAGCGUUAUCCGGAUUUACUGGGUGUAAAGGGAGCGUAGGCGGCGGAGCAAGUCAGAAGUGAAAGCCCGGGGCUCAACCCCGGGACGGCUUUUGAAACUGCCCUGCUUGAUUUCAGGAGAGGUAAGCGGAAUUCCUAGUGUAGCGGUGAAAUGCGUAGAUAUUAGGAGGAACACCAGUGGCGAAGGCGGCUUACUGGACUGACAAUGACGCUGAGGCUCGAAAGCGU